AAACUGUGAAUCAACUAGUCAACAAUGAUGAUAAGUUUGUAUUGGGUCUUUUUUGUCGCAUUUGUUUUCGCUGAGAUCGUUAGUCCCGUGCUGGGAGGGCUGCAAAAGAGAACUAUUGGUGCACGAUGCGGAGCGGGUUGGUGUGUAACUAGGGCAAAUCCUUGUCAAAAUACAUUUGAUUACUGUUCAAACCGUAAUGAGAAAUGCUGCCUUUUCGCCGAAUACCCCGGGAAAGUAUAAAGCGGUUUGGUGAACUAUAUUUCAGUAGUUAAUCCACGGGGCAGUUUCAGAAACUCGUUUCAAAUAAGUAUUGAAACUCUAUUUCACAAACACUAAUAUUUUCUCACAAUAAAAACGUUUGUCAGCCCUUUCAUCAAUUCCAAGUGUCUUUCAAUGUAUUUAGAAACCAAAUAUUAAAAGAGAAAAACCAAUUUAUUCUUUUCUGGUUUAUAAUCAACUUGAUUGUUAUUUUUCCUUUCUAAAUAGCUACAUUGCCAUUCAUUUAAAAACCACUCAAAUUUAAACUGAGACUAAUAAAUUUGGCAUUCCUCUAAAUUUUUAUCUAUUCCAAAAAACCAAUAGUCAAGUAGUUUGCAAGGGUGAUUAGCUUCUUUUGGUUAUUUUUGGUUUAAAGCGAUCACUAACAUAUUAUACUCAAAAAUGCAGAAUGCGAAACAGAUCCUUGGUGUGUAGUGCAUAGUCAUCCCUAUAAAAAUAAAGGAUAUCAUACGGGAUAGCCUUAAACUCUUUUUGAAAUGUAUUUUGGAGUUCAAUUUAAUAAAUGAAAGUGAUUUAUGUGCUUCAUAUUCGGCAUUUUUUUUUCAUAAAAAACAGCUUUCGACAGACUAUUAAGAUGAUACGGUUAUAAAGACUAAUGAAUUAAGAAUGGUACUCAGCACACAGCCCUUUCGAAGAAGUGAAAAUUAACUAGUCCCCAACUAUGGUCGGUUGCUUCAAGGUCUUCUUGCUGGCAGUUUUCCUAGUCCUCAACAUCGGCUUCGGCUGUUCCACUAAGUUAACUAGGACAUGUGGAGAGGGAAGGUGUGUUUCUACCCUAAAUGAAUGCCCACAAAUUCCAGGAAAAUGUACAAGGAAAAGAGAAAAAUGUUGCCGUGUAAGGAGGCAUUUUGAUUAGACAAGUGAUUUAACACUUGACGAAAUGACGAAAAAUAUUCGGCCCUAUUAUUUUGUUUCUUUUUUAUCAAGAAAUGCGUCUGCUGAGUAUUGCUUUAGUACAAUCAGCAUUGCAUUUAGUUUCCUUAUUUAUUAAAACUGUCAGGUCAAAAUGCAUUAUGAGAAAGCAAGUGAUAAAACACUAGACGACAAAUUGUCUGCCAUAUUCACAGAUUUAAUACUGAACUAAAUCAAUAAUUCAAUUAUUCAAAUGCACAUUAAUAUAAAUAUUAAAUAACCGGAACAAGGAAUUUGUAUUCUUCUGUAGAUUUACGGUGCUACUAAUGUUGUAGCAUUUUAAUAACUAAUUGUUUACAAUUAGAAACCCAAAAUAUGGCAAAGAAAAGUAAACGUGGCCAUAGUGUUAGAGCGAUUAUAGCCUGUAGAUUAUGGCUAUAUAGAUAGAGAUUAAAUUUAAUACCAUGCUUUAAGCCAAUUUGAACCCAAGAAAAUACAAUUUUCACGGCAUAUACAGUAUAAAAGAUGUCUGCACCAGCCAGUCAGUUAGCAAAGAUGAUCGGUUACUUGAAGCUCUUUUUGGUGGCAGCACUUCUGUCCUUGUUCCUUGAUCCCACUUAUGGACAAGCCCCGUGCGGUCAAGGUGGAUAUUGUGCCCAACUCAGCAACCCUUGCCCAAUGAUUCCCGGAAAUUGCCCGGCUGGUCAGAAAUGUUGCCGCGAUAGGCGCAAGGGCCGAACUGCAUAGAUUCAAACUUUACACUUUGGAAAAGGAAUAGAAAUGUUCAUAAAAUGUACAAAUAAAUGAUAGUUAUUUUCCCACCAAUAAUGCAAAUUUUAAAACAAUAAGCUUUUUAAUAGAAUAACACAGGGAAAAUCAACUUAA
Molecule: long non-coding RNA, 2016 nt
Organism: Drosophila gunungcola (fruit fly)
Lineage: Eukaryota; Metazoa; Arthropoda; Insecta; Diptera; Drosophilidae
Exons: 4
Source: RefSeq, a predicted model, not a curated record